This 492-nucleotide ribosomal RNA is filed under the name uncultured bacterium. Its description in RNAcentral is "partial 16S ribosomal RNA". It matches the Rfam family "Bacterial small subunit ribosomal RNA", at positions 29 to 507 of the family's 1533-position model. The record is from RNAcentral.
AGUGAACGCUGGCGGUAGGCCUAACACAUGCAAGUCGAACGGCAGCACAGUAAGAGCUUGCUCUUACGGGUGGCGAGUGGCGGACGGGUGAGGAAUACAUCGGAAUCUACUUUUUCGUGGGGGAUAAUGUAGGGAAACUUACGCUAAUACCGCAUACGACCUACGGGUGAAAGCAGGGGAUCUUCGGACCUUGCGCGAUUGAAUGAGCCGAUGUCGGAUUAGCUAGUUGGCGGGGUAAAGGCCCACCAAGGCGAAGAUCCGUAGCUGGUCUCAGAGGAUGAUCAGCCACACUGGAACUGAGACACGGUCCAGACACCUACGGGAGGCGGCAGUGGGGAAUAUUGGACAAUGGGCCAAAGCCUGAUCCAGCCAUACCGCGUGGGUGAAGACGGCCUUAGGGUUGUAAAGCCCUUUUGUUGGGAAAGAAAAGCAGCAGGUUAAUACCCCGCUGUUCUGACGGUACCCAAAGAAUAAGCACCGGCUAACUUCGUG